Molecule: ribosomal RNA, 483 nt
Filed under: uncultured bacterium
Lineage: Bacteria
Description: partial 16S ribosomal RNA
Rfam family: Bacterial small subunit ribosomal RNA
Source: RNAcentral
GACGAACGCUGGCGGCGUGCUUAACACAUGCAAGUCGAACGAUGAAGCUGGAGCUUGCUCCGGUGGAUUAGUGGCGAACGGGUGAGUAACACGUGAGCAAUCUGCCCUUGACUCUGGGAUAACUGCGGGAAACUGUAGCUAAUACCGGAUACGAGGCUCGAAGGCAUCUUCGGGUCUGGAAAGAAUUUCGGUCAAGGAUGAGCUCGCGGCCUAUCAGCUUGUUGGUGAGGUAAUGGCUCACCAAGGCGACGACGGGUAGCCGGCCUGAGAGGGUGACCGGCCACACUGGGACUGAGACACGGCCCAGACUCCUGCGGGAGGCAGCAGUGGGGAAUAUUGCACAAUGGGCGAAAGCGUGAUGCAGCAGCGCCGCGUGAGGGAUGAAGGCCUUCGGGUUGUAAACCUCUUUUAGCAGGGAAGAAGCGAAAGUGACGGUACCUGCAGAAAAAGCACCGGCUAACUACGUGCCAGCCGCCGCCGUAA